Molecule: ribosomal RNA, 464 nt
Filed under: Vreelandella stevensii
Lineage: Bacteria; Pseudomonadati; Pseudomonadota; Gammaproteobacteria; Oceanospirillales; Halomonadaceae
Description: partial 16S ribosomal RNA
Rfam family: Bacterial small subunit ribosomal RNA
Source: RNAcentral
CCUACGGGAGGCUGCAGUGGGGAAUAUUGGACAAUGGGCGAAAGCCUGAUCCAGCCAUGCCGCGUGUGUGAAGAAGGCCUUCGGGUUGUAAAGCACUUUCAGUGGGGAAGAAAGCCUUGGGGCUAAUACCCUCGAUGAAGGACAUCACCCACAGAAGAAGCACCGGCUAACUCCGUGCCAGCAGCCGCGGUAAUACGGAGGGUGCGAGCGUUAAUCGGAAUUACUGGGCGUAAAGCGCGCGUAGGCGGUCUGAUAAGCCGGUUGUGAAAGCCCCGGGCUCAACCUGGGAACGGCAUCCGGAACUGUCAGGCUAGAGUGCAGGAGAGGAAGGUAGAAUUCCCGGUGUAGCGGUGAAAUGCGUAGAGAUCGGGAGGAAUACCAGUGGCGAAGGCGGCCUUCUGGACUGACACUGACGCUGAGGUGCGAAAGCGUGGGUAGCAAACAGGAUUAGAUACCCGGUAGUC